GAGUUUGAUCGUGGCUCAGGAUGAACGCUGGCGGCGUGCUUAACACAUGCAAGUCGAGCGAAGCGCCUUGAAGUUUUCGGACAGAGAGGUGACUGAGCGGCGGACGGGUGAGUAACGCGUGGGUAACCUGCCUCAUACAGGGGGAUAACAGUUAGAAAUGGCUGCUAAUACCGCAUAAGCGCACAGUGCCGCAUGGUACGGUGUGAAAAACUCCGGUGGUAUGAGAUGGACCCCGCGUCUGAUUAGGUAGUUGGUGAGGUAACGGCCCACCAAG
This 274-nucleotide ribosomal RNA is filed under the name uncultured bacterium. RNAcentral's name for it is "partial 16S ribosomal RNA". It matches the Rfam family "Bacterial small subunit ribosomal RNA", at positions 9 to 272 of the family's 1533-position model. The record is from RNAcentral.